GACAGAGGUCCCGAGCGUUAGGCGGAAUCACUGGGCUUAAAGCGUGUGUAGGCGGAGUGCUAAGUACCUUGUGAAAUCCCGCGGCUCAACCGUGGAACUGCUUGGUAUACUGGUUCUCUUGAGCCACCUAGGGGCAACCGGAACAAACGGUGGAGCGGUGAAAUGCGUAGAUAUCGUGUGGAACGCCAAUGGUGAAAACAGGUUGCUGGGGGUGUGCUGACGCUGAGACGCGAAAGCCAGGGGAGCAAACGGG
This 253-nucleotide ribosomal RNA is filed under the name uncultured bacterium. RNAcentral describes it as "partial 16S ribosomal RNA". It matches the Rfam family "Bacterial small subunit ribosomal RNA", at positions 524 to 776 of the family's 1533-position model. The record is from RNAcentral.